RNAcentral lists this ribosomal RNA (354 nucleotides) under uncultured bacterium. RNAcentral's name for it is "bacterial SSU rRNA". It matches the Rfam family "Bacterial small subunit ribosomal RNA", at positions 8 to 349 of the family's 1533-position model. The record is from RNAcentral.
AGAGUUUGAUCCUGGCUCAGGAUGAACGCUAGCUACAGGCUUAACACAUGCAAGUCGAGGGGAAACGAUAUUGGAAGCUUGCUUCCGAUAGGCGUCGACCGGCGCACGGGUGAGUAACGCGUAUCCAACCUGCCCACCACUUGGGGAUAACCUUGCGAAAGUAAGACUAAUACCCAAUGAUAUCUCUAGAAGACAUCUGAAAGAGAUUAAAGAUUUAUCGGUGAUGGAUGGGGAUGCGUCUGAUUAGCUUGGUUGGCGGGGUAACGGCCCACCAAGGCGACGAUCAGUAGGGGUUCUGAGAGGAAGGUCCCCCANAUUGGAACUGAGACACGGUCCAAACUCCGUACGGGAGCA